GUUGCAAUUAUGUGAUUGGCACAGCAAUAUUGGUAUUCCCCGAUCAUCGAGCAUAUAUUCAAUGCAUGAGCAUUAUGUCAUUUUGAGGUUGAUACCAGAGUGAAAAGGAGUGAUAUUGGAGUCGCUGAGAGAACAUAUCUCGUUACAUCAACCAACAACUAGAUAUAAGAUGAGUCAAUAUCAUCAAAACCAGAGAAGAAGCUAUUCCCCAGGUGGCAGAAAAAAUGAACCUUCAGAACACGAUGAAGUAAACAUAACGGUGGACUUAAAUGGGAAAAAACUAUCCUUAAGUGUAGUCUUGAAUUGGACCCAAGACUUCCUGAUUGAGCAGAUUGCAGCCCUUAUCGGUCUACUUAAAAGUCAAUUUUACGUGACUUUUCAGAGCAAGAAGUUGCAUGGUGCCAAAAUGAUAUUUUAUGUUGGAAUACGGAAUGGUAGUAAAGUAUAUGUCAAUGGGCGACUGCGAGGUGGGCUUAAAGUUAUAUUUUAGUGAUAUAAUAAUGUACUCGGGAGUCGGGAGUGCAUAUUUUCUCAAUGCUAUCAUUCGCACUCAUAUUUCCGCAAGUAAGAUUUACACUGCCCCACUCCAGAAAAACGAUAGCUGCAGAUGAUAUUAUUUUUUUCUAGCGUUUACUUCACUCAUUCAAGAUAAUUUUGUUUAGCUCUGUAAAUUCAUACUACUAAGUACAUAGGUAAACAUACUGAGACGAUUCCCCACGUUUUAAUAAUUGUUCUUGUCGGUUCUUUGAUGUAUUUUGCUUAUGUAUUUGUAUAAUAUGUAUAUCUUAGUCAUUGUUAUAUUUUCCAAUUGAAUUCAAUUUCAUUUGCAUUUAUUACAGAUUGAACAAACAAAAUGUAUAACAGAUAGAGGAGUGACAUUAAGUUUGAUACCAAGUAAUGAGGUGAUUAGACACAGGAAAUUUCAUCUAAUUUACUGAAAUUUUAGUAAUCGAAUUUUAGUCAUCGAAAGAUUAUAAUGGAAAUGAUUUAAUUACAUGAAUAAAGCUUCUUAAUUCUGUCAUCACCCAUUCCACACUAUUGCUCAAACACCCAGCUCUAAAAACUGCUGUAUAUUUUAUAGAACGAUUUAUUUUUACAUCAUAUACUGGAUCUCACCAUUCUAUAUAAUGGCGCUAUAUAGUUUCAGGGGCGGAAAGCUCUUCUCAAAGGUGGGGGACACAAUUGAGUUUACCAUUUUUAUUUGUAAAUAUAUAUAUAUUUACACACACACAUGCACGAGAGACUAGUCGAACCGAUACCCCUUUUCCUACCCAAGUUCUUAACCAAAAUAUAUCGAUAUGAUAUAUAUUUCGAAAUUCAAGGAUACAUGUUUGAUUACGAUUUUGAAUGAUGCAUUUUUUUCCAUCAUAAAAGAGCACAAAUAGUGGGGAUAUUUUAUAUUGUGUCCCUUGUCCCCUCUGGUAUUUCCGCCCAUGUAUAGUUCACUGCAAAAGUUCAGCCAUAUGUUAAUAUUAAAUUGUUCAUUAGUGAUAAUGUUCAACUAGUAUUUGAUUUUUAGAGUUUUGUUAUGAAUCCAUUGUUUGGUACAAAUGCAUUGCUUUACUGUGAUAAAUUGAUAGAAUGUCUAGUAAUCAAACUUACUGUGACAACCCAAUAUAAUGAAAAUGAUUCAGAUAGAGAUUAAAUAUUUUUCAAUUAAAUGCCAUUUAAUUUGCAUGCAAAUGUAUAUACAUGAUGACACAUAUAAGUGGUAUUUAAGGUGUUUAAUGUGUGAAAAUAAAUGGAAAUGUAUUCAUAAGUUUGAUUGCCUGGAGUCGCUUGAAUUCUUAAAAUCAUUAAUACUUUAAAAGAUAACUAUCCAUUAGUAUUUAUCUUUUUAUAAACAUUUAUACACAGCCCCCAACAUUCGAAUAUAAAUGAUACAUUACUUUUGAUUGAAUUGCACGCAUGUUCUAAUGUUUAUACACUCAUUUAAAUUUAUAUACCAAAGGGCUUGCUGUUCGCCAUUUCUUCGAUCUUUGUAAUAAGUUUAUCUAUUUGUUCCCAUGUGUGUUGUAAUGAAUUUUUCAGAUUAAAUGGUUUAGUUCCCCGGA
Long non-coding RNA from Lytechinus pictus (painted urchin), 2054 nucleotides. RefSeq lists it as uncharacterized. The transcript has 3 exons. The record is from RefSeq and is a predicted model, not a curated record. NCBI's taxonomy places the organism in Eukaryota, Metazoa, Echinodermata, Echinoidea, Temnopleuroida, Toxopneustidae.